This 522-nucleotide ribosomal RNA is filed under the name Triticum aestivum (bread wheat). Its description in RNAcentral is "partial small subunit ribosomal RNA". The record is from RNAcentral. Lineage: Eukaryota; Viridiplantae; Streptophyta; Magnoliopsida; Poales; Poaceae.
AUGGCAAACACCAAGCUUGUAGUCGUGGGCGUGGCCAUCCUUGUAAUCCUGCUGCAGGUGUCGACGUGCGCGGUGGCCCGGCACCACGCCAAGCCGGACCCGUGCGCCAGCGAGGACGACUCCGUGCCGGGCAUGCUGCACAAGCACAAGAAGCCCCACUGCACCUCGCCGGGCCGCAGCGGCGGCGGCGGCGGCGGCACCCCAGGCGUGAUGACGGUGAACGGCUUCCAGAAGGGCCAGGACGGCGGCGGGCCGUCGGAGUGCGACGGCAAGUACCACAGCAACGGCGACAUGAUCGUGGCGCUGUCGACGCGCUGGUACGCGGGCGGACGCCGGUGCGGCAAGAUGAUCCGCAUCACCAGCAAGCACAACGGGCGCACCGUGCAGGCCAAGGUGGUGGACGAGUGCGACUCCAACCACGGCUGCAAGACCAACAUCGUGGACACCUCCGAGGCCGUGUGGAAGGCGCUCGGGCUCGACAGCAACAUCGGCGAGGUGCCGGUGACAUGGUCCGACGCCUGA